This 229-nucleotide ribosomal RNA is filed under the name uncultured bacterium. RNAcentral's name for it is "partial 16S ribosomal RNA". It matches the Rfam family "Bacterial small subunit ribosomal RNA", at positions 568 to 796 of the family's 1533-position model. The record is from RNAcentral.
AGUGUAGGUGGCUAUUUAAGUUGGAUGUGAAAGCCCCGGGCUCAACCUGGGAAUUGCAUUCGAAACUGAAUAGCUAGAGUUUGGUAGAGGUAAGUGGAAUUCCGGGUGUAGCGGUGAAAUGCGUAGAUAUCCGGAGGAACAUCAGUGGCGAAGGCGGCUUACUGGACCAAAACUGACGCUGAGGCUCGAAAGCGUGGGGAGCAAACAGGAUUAGAUACCCUGGUAGUCC